RNAcentral lists this ribosomal RNA (440 nucleotides) under uncultured bacterium. RNAcentral describes it as "partial 16S ribosomal RNA". It matches the Rfam family "Bacterial small subunit ribosomal RNA", at positions 338 to 795 of the family's 1533-position model. The record is from RNAcentral.
CCUACGGGAGGCAGCAGUGGGGGAUAUUGCACAAUGGGGGAAACCCUGAUGCAGCGACGCCGCGUGGGUGAAGAAGCGCCUCGGCGCGUAAAGCCCUGUCAGCAGGGAAGAAAAUGACGGUACCUGAAGAAGAAGCCCCGGCUAACUACGUGCCAGCAGCCGCGGUAAUACGUAGGGGGCAAGCGUUAUCCGGAUUUACUGGGUGUAAAGGGGGCGCAGACGGCGUUGCAAGCCAGGAGUGAAAGGCCGGGGCCCAACCCCGGGACUGCACUUGAAACUGCGUGGCUAGAGUGCAGUAGGGGCAGGCGGAAUUCCUGGUGUAGCGGUGAAAUGCGUAGAUAUCAGGAGGAACACCGGUGGCGAAGGCGGCCUGCUGGACUGCAACUGACGUUGAGGCCCGAAAGCGUGGGGAGCAAACAGGAUUAGAUACCCGGGUAGUC